CUCUCCCUUCCCAGCUUCUCUGAGUUUUCUUUCCCUUCUACGAUCUGGCAAAGGGCCUGCCGUAAAAACUGCCUCUGCAGACAGAGGAGGCCUCUGGGGCUGGUGCUUCUCUGUGAUGUGCCAGCUGCUUCUCCCCUUCUUCCCAGGCAGCGUGGUACCUGUCCAUUGCUGCUAACAGUGGAAAAUUCAGAGGUUUUCUUGGGGAAAGGAUGAAUCUGGACUUUCCAACCCUUGGAUGACACCUUCACAUGCAGCCCACAAGGCCUCUGCUGAAUGUCACUUGCAGCCUAACGAGAAAGCCAUUCCUGGCACUAGAUAAUCGAUGGUCGUGGUUUGUUUUCAAAGCUCCUGGUAAAUUAGGUCUCCUGGAAGGCACCUUCCCCGAACCUUCCCCCACUGUAUUUAUGCUUAAUUCUUUUCAUUUUUCAUUGCUUCCCCAAAUUAAAUUUAUGUGUGCACUUGGCAAAUUGUUGCCAUUAGUGUAAACAUUCACUACAAGACAUUCCCCAAGUUCUGGUGCCUAGAGAUAUCGUAGUAAAAUGAAUUGUUCUCCCC
This 555-nucleotide long non-coding RNA is filed under the name Homo sapiens (human). Its description in RNAcentral is "HSALNT0143822". The record is from RNAcentral. Lineage: Eukaryota; Metazoa; Chordata; Mammalia; Primates; Hominidae.